GGAUGAGGGCGAUCUGGCUGCAAUAUCUGUCACCCCAUCAGUCACCAAGGUUGGUUAGCUCAUCUGGCUGGUGUCCCCGUCCUCCCUCACCACUCCACGUGCGUCCCUCCUGAAGCUGUGCGCUUGGCUGAAGAGGACCACCACCUCCAAUAGAGGAGGAGCGGUCUUUGGUCCAGGGUAUAUGAGUAGCUGCACCCCCCUGCUAAAACCUCCAAACAAGCUCUCAAAUACACCUAUUUUUUGAAGUCCCUCAUCUUAUGACCCACUUCUUUUAUUUUAUUAAGUAUAUUAAACAUGCAAUAUCAUGUAUU
Molecule: unclassified non-coding RNA, 311 nt
Organism: Cercocebus atys (sooty mangabey)
Lineage: Eukaryota; Metazoa; Chordata; Mammalia; Primates; Cercopithecidae
Gene: 7SK
Rfam family: 7SK RNA
About the family: 7SK was discovered as an abundant small nuclear RNA in the mid-70s but a possible function has only recently been suggested.
Source: Ensembl